RNAcentral lists this ribosomal RNA (407 nucleotides) under uncultured bacterium. RNAcentral's name for it is "partial 16S ribosomal RNA". It matches the Rfam family "Bacterial small subunit ribosomal RNA", at positions 30 to 526 of the family's 1533-position model. The record is from RNAcentral.
AUUGAACGCUAGCGGGAUGCCUUACACAUGCAAGUCGAACGGAGUGGCUAACGGGUGAGUAAUGUAUCGGUACGUGCCCAGUAGCGUGGGAUAACUAAGCGAAAGAGUAGCUAAUACCGCAUACUAUUGGAGCGGCCGAUAUCGGAUUCGCUAGUUGGUGUGGUACCGGUUCACCAAGGGGACGAUCCGUAGCUGGGUUGAGAGGACGACCAGCCACACUGGGACUGAGACACGGCCCAGACUCCUACGGGAGGCAGCAGUGGGGAAUGUUGGACAAUGGGGGAAACCCUGAUCCAGCCAGCCCGCGUGUGCGAUGAAGGCCUUCGGGUUGUAAAGCACUUUUGGCAGGAAAGCGGUACCUGCAGAAUAAGCACCGGCUAACUACGUGCCAGCAGCCGCGGUAAUAC